UGCAUUUGGCGAGAGGCAGGGCACGUUUCUGCCCUACUGAUGAACUCAGGUUCGGCCGCCGAAGGUACAUUCGGCCGCCGAACCCCUGAAGAGGUGUGAGGAGGUGGCUUCGGCUGCCCAAGCUUGCCCCCGAGCUUUUGGACUUUCGGCUCUGGAGGGAAGUUCGGCCGCCGAAGGUGCCGCCGAAGGUUAGAGACUUUCGUCUCUGGCGUGCCUU
RNAcentral lists this long non-coding RNA (217 nucleotides) under Manihot esculenta (cassava). RNAcentral's name for it is "long non-coding RNA (MESC_LNC010470)". The record is from RNAcentral. Lineage: Eukaryota; Viridiplantae; Streptophyta; Magnoliopsida; Malpighiales; Euphorbiaceae.